Molecule: ribosomal RNA, 253 nt
Filed under: uncultured bacterium
Lineage: Bacteria
Description: partial 16S ribosomal RNA
Rfam family: Bacterial small subunit ribosomal RNA
Source: RNAcentral
UACGUAGGAUGCAAGCGUUGUCCGGAUUUACUGGGUGUAAAGGGUGCGCAGGCGGCUUAGUAAGUCAGAGGUGAAAGCCCGCAGCUUAACUGCGGAAAUGCCUUUGAUACUGCUAGGCUUGAAUAUGAUAGAGGCUCAUGGAAUAUGUGGUGUAGCGGUGAAAUGCGUAGAUAUCACAUAGAACACCAGUGGCGAAGGCGGUGAGCUGGGUCAUUAUUGACGCUCAUGCACGAAAGUGUGGGUAGCAAACAGG